GACGAACGCUGGCGGCGCGCUUAACACAUGCCAGUCGAACGGAAAGGCCUGCUUUCCCUUGUGGAUUGCGGGUACUCGAGUGGCGAACGGGUGAGUAACACGUGAGUGAUCUGCCCCCAACUUGGGUAUAAGCCUGGGAAACUGGGUCUAAUUCCCGAUAGGACUGCAGGGUGGUGCCUGUGGUGGAAAACGAUUUUCUAGUGGUUGGGGAUGAGCUCGCGGCCUAUCAGCUUGUUGGUGGGGUAAUGGCCUACCAAGGCGGCGACGGGUAGCCGGCCUGAGAGGGUGGACGGCCACAUUGGGACUGAGAUACGGCCCAGACUCCUACGGGAGGCAGCAGUGGGGAAUAUUGCACAAUGGGCGGAAGCCUGAUGCAGCGACGCCGCGUGGGGGAUGACGGCCUUCGGGUUGUAAACUCCUUUCGACCGCGAGGAAGCCACCUGGUUGGAGGGGUGGUGACGGUAGUGGUAGAAGAAGCACCGGCUAACUACGUG
This 494-nucleotide ribosomal RNA is filed under the name uncultured bacterium. Its description in RNAcentral is "partial 16S ribosomal RNA". It matches the Rfam family "Bacterial small subunit ribosomal RNA", at positions 28 to 507 of the family's 1533-position model. The record is from RNAcentral.